UUUGAUCUAUUCAAGGUGUAUUCUAUCUGAAUAUUCCCAUCAAAUGAUUGGUGGUUGGUGACUCAAUCUUAUCCAUACUAGGGCAGCAAUAAGACUAGUAUAUAAAUGUUAUUAUAGUAGCCUGCAGCUAAGAGCACAAAAAUAGAGUCCUUUGAGCUACAUUGUGAGGCUGUGUAUGAGAGACUCGAGAGCUAAAAAAGUUUGAGUGACUUUCAGAGAAAUACUUAAGGUUUUGAGCUGAAUUUAUUCACUGAAAUCAGUAUGAAGCAUGUGCUAACUUACUGAAGAACAUAAGGACCUGUGAUGUUGUUUUCUAGUGCGAACAAUGAGGAUUGGGAGGUGAAAAUUUGUUGUAGUUACUUUUGGAGUUUGAACAAGGUCCAUGCAAGUGUAUCUUGAGGGUUUACAUCAGCUGAAGUGGCCUGAGACAACAUAUUAAGGCUGACAUUCGGAUUCAGCUUCAAAUAUCAAAGCGAAAGUUUGCCGAUUCAUUCCUCCUUCAACAGCUCCAAAGCUCGCUCAAUCACUACUCAAAGUCAAACUGUCAAAGUUCAUUUUGCAGAAUCUGGAGUUGUAUGAAGUUCAUACUAUGACUUUGAGUUGUAGGAAUCUAGAGUUUGGUUAAAUAAUUUGUUUUAAUAUUCUGAAGUAUAAUUUUGUUGUUGUUCUGUCUCUGAUCUUCUUCCUUAGUGAUUCUAUUUCUUGUGUUUAUGUUCUAUUCGUUACUGGUUGUGAGUUUUUUUAAACGUUUUUUGUUGUCCUUUUCAAACUGAUUGUGAAUUUUUUUUUUUGUUUCUUAUUUUUUUUUUAAUUAUUAUUAUUAUUUUUUAUCUCUCAACGUUUUUGACAUUUUUCUGUUGUAUAAUUUCUAUUUCUGCAUUUUUAUGACAGUUUUGUCUGCUAGAAAUUUUGAAUUUUGGCAUAAAAAAAAAAAAAAAGGAAGAAGAAGAAUUGAUUCAAUUUUAAAAAAGAGCUUUUCUUAAGUUUUUGAGCAAUACAAACAAAAAGAGUUUAGUUGAACAUUUAAUUUUUGUGACUGAGUUGUUUUGAAUAUUUUCUUUUAGUUUUUUUUAUUUAAAUUAUAUUGUGCCCUUUAUAAAGCACCAAGAUCGGGUUUUAUUUUGUAUAUUUUCAAUAUUAAUAUAUUUUAUGUGCUAAUUGUCUCAUUUUAAUAAAAAUUUUGUACUCUUAUAAUUUUUUUGCACUUGCGAAACCUUACGUAUAAAUGGCAUGUUAUUUAAAAAUUCGUUUAGAAUCUCUCAAAAAUUGAGAAUCUCAAGGCCGCCCCUCUUAGAGAGGAUUGAGUCCUUUACAUGAGUGAAGGUCGGAGAUCAUUCACAUAUGGUAUGGUUUCAAAAACAAAGUGGAACUCGCCCCAUAUGUACGUACUGAUCUCCACCCAACCUCGUGCAUAUAUAAUAUGUAGUACCAUGGUGUGCCCAUUAGAGGAUCUAUGCCAGAGAGCGAAGCCAAUUAAUGCCUAAUGGGGCAUGUGACGUCUGUCUUGACCUGGCUCGGCCACUAUAAUAUAUAUUGUGUAUAUAUAUAUAUAUAUAUUUUACUUUAUAUAUGAAAAAUUUAUAUAAUGACCCCUAAAGUUUUUUAUUUUUUUUAAAAUUGAUCUCCUAACUUUUUAUUUUUUUUUUUACUCUUUCAUCCUUUAAAUUCGUUUAAUUUCCUUACAAAAAAUUAAAAUUUCUUUUUUUAAUCAAACUCUUUUUUUUUUUUUUUUCAAAGUUCUCUUAUUUUUCUUAUAUUUGUUAGAUAUUUAUUUGUCAAAUAAUUUAUCUUUUUUUAUACUACUCAUUAAUUAUCAUAUUAUUUUGCAAUAACUUUUUUCUAUUUGCCUCGUGAUUUGAAGAAUCCAUAUAUGUUAUCUUCACUGAUUUUAAUUAAUUAAUUAAUUGUUAUUUUUAACAUUGUGUUGUGCCCCUGCAUUGAAUUUCUGACUCUUAUUGGUGCAAGUGCAUCUAAAAAGAAAAACGUAGUGUUAUAAGGUGAGAAAAAACUCCCUUUCUUCUGAAUUAUUAUUAUUAUUAUUAUUUUUUUCACUUGAGUCUCUUUAUAGGAAUUUACUCUCUCUUCAUUUUUCCUGGAUAAUGUAAUAAUAUAUUGAAGUAAUUACAUAUCUGAUAAGAUUUUAAUAAUAGACGAUUUUCUCAUGCAUUUUUUUUUUUUUUUUUUUUAUGUUCAUGUAAUUUUCUUACUAAGCAAUUAGUAUUGUAAACUUGUUUGAUUUUAAAAAGCGUAAAUUUUUUAAUUCAACUUUGUUUCAAGGCACAAAAAAUAAAUACCAUCACAAUCACUAAAACCAUGAAGUGGCAAUUACUAGUAUUGUUCAGAAAAAUAAUUAGUUCUCUCUCUCGUAAAAUUUACUUGUGUCACUACUGAUAAUUGACAUAAUUUUUAAAACUCCUUAAGAACGUAAAAAAUAAAGAAAAAAAAAAAAUAGUAGGAUAAUAUAUGACAUGGUGGUUGAUGGAAUUUUAGAUAGGUGUGGUAUAUGAUUUAUAUAUUUAACCGACACAUAGAUAUAGAAUAUAUAUAUAUAUAUAUACACACAGAAGUCACAGGUUAAAUUCGAAUUGACUACCUCAGAUAAAGUCGAACACAAAACUUCACGUGCUUGGAGUUCCUUUGUCCAGCUUGCCGGUGUGGACUUUUAUAACUUCAUAAUUAUUUUUUAGUGUAGAAAGUGCUCUUGUAAUGUGAAGAAACUAGGACACAUACAAAAAUACAAGAUACAUGUACAAGUUGAAGAACUCAACACUAAAAGAAGCGAAUAAAAUUUAAGUAGCACAAGAUUUUAUCUGUCAAAAUGUAAAACUUGAUUUAACCAAACGAAUCAUUUCAAUCUACGAGUACGAUGCAUGAAUAAUUAAUAAAUUAAAUUAAAUUAAAUUGUUGGAUUAGUACACCACUACAAGUCUACACACUCAAGGAGAUCCUUUGAAUAAUUUUAGGGUUGAGGUUUCUGAUUAUAUAUAUAUAUAUAUA
Molecule: long non-coding RNA, 2997 nt
Organism: Cornus florida
Lineage: Eukaryota; Viridiplantae; Streptophyta; Magnoliopsida; Cornales; Cornaceae
Exons: 3
Source: RefSeq, a predicted model, not a curated record